UACGGAGGGUGCAAGCGUUAUCCGGAUUCACUGGGUUUAAAGGAUGCGUAGGCGGGCAGGUAAGUCCGUGGUGAAAUCUCUGAGCUUAACUCAGAAACUGCCAUGGAUACUAUUUGUCUUGAAUAUUGUGGAGGUAAGCGGAAUAUGUCAUGUAGCGGUGAAAUGCUUAGAUAUGACAUAGAACACCAAUUGCGAAGGCAGCUUACUACACAGUUAUUGACGCUGAGGCACGAAAGCGUGGGGAUCAAACAGG
RNAcentral lists this ribosomal RNA (253 nucleotides) under uncultured bacterium. Its description in RNAcentral is "partial 16S ribosomal RNA". It matches the Rfam family "Bacterial small subunit ribosomal RNA", at positions 524 to 776 of the family's 1533-position model. The record is from RNAcentral.